Molecule: ribosomal RNA, 407 nt
Filed under: uncultured bacterium
Lineage: Bacteria
Description: partial 16S ribosomal RNA
Rfam family: Bacterial small subunit ribosomal RNA
Source: RNAcentral
AUUGAACGCUGGCGGCAGGCCUAACACAUGCAAGUCGAGCGGCGAGGGGGACGGGUGAGUAAGGACUAGGAAUCUGCCUGGUAGUGGGGGAUAACGUCCGGAAACGGGAGCUAAUGCCGCAUAAUUGAAGAGGAGAUUAGGUCGGAUUAGCUAGUUGGUGGGGUAAAGGCCUACCAAGGCGACGAUCCGUAGCUGGUCUGAGAGGAUGAUCAGUCACACUGGAACUGAGACACGGUCCAGACUCCUACGGGAGGCAGCAGUGGGGAAUAUUGGACAAUGGGCGAAAGCCUGAUCCAGCCAUGCCGCGUGUGUGAAGAAGGUCUUCGGAUUGUAAAGCACUUUAAGUUGGGAGGCGUUACCAGCAGAAUAAGCACCGGCUAACUUCGUGCCAGCCGCCGCGGUAAUAC